AGUGAACGCUGGCGGCGUGCUUAACACAUGCAAGUCGAACGAGAACGGAUUAUAGCUUGCUCUAAUUGUCAGCUAAGUGGCGCACGGGUGAGUAAUGUAUAGGUAAUAUGCCUCUUACUAAGGGAUAACAAAUGGCAACGUUUGCUAAUACCUUAUACUCCUUAUUAACAGAAGUUAAUAAGGGAAAGAUUUAUUGGUAAGAGAUUAGCCUGUAUUGUAUCAGUUAGUUGGUGGGAUAAUGGCUUAGCAAGACUAUGACACAUAACUGGUUUGAGAGGAUGAUCAGUCACACUGGAACAGGGACACGGUCCAGACUCCUACGGGAGGCAGCAGUGGGGAAUAUUGCACAAUGGACGAAAGUCUGAUGCAGCAACGCCGCGUGUAUGAUGACACAUUUCGGUGCGUAAACUCCUUUUAUAUGAGAAGAUAAUGACGGUAUUAUAUGAAUAAGCACCGGCUAACUCCGUGCAGCAGCCGCAGUAA
Molecule: ribosomal RNA, 483 nt
Filed under: uncultured bacterium
Lineage: Bacteria
Description: partial 16S ribosomal RNA
Rfam family: Bacterial small subunit ribosomal RNA
Source: RNAcentral